RNAcentral lists this ribosomal RNA (490 nucleotides) under uncultured bacterium. RNAcentral describes it as "bacterial SSU rRNA". It matches the Rfam family "Bacterial small subunit ribosomal RNA", at positions 25 to 518 of the family's 1533-position model. The record is from RNAcentral.
CAGAACGAACGCUGGCGGCGCGUUUAAGCAUGCAAGUCGCAGGGUAAAAUUUAGCAAUAGAAUUGAGACUGGCGAACGGGUGAGUAACACGUGAAAAUCUACCCUGAGAUGGGGGGAUAGCCGGUAGAAAUAUCGGGUAAUACCGCAUAUGCCGAGAGGUGAAAGGGGCAACUGCUCCGUCUUGAGAUGAGUUUGCGUCUGAUUAGAUAGUUGGCGAGGUAAAGGCUCACCAAGUCUACGAUCAGUAGCCGGCCUGAGAGGGUGAUCGGCCACAUUGGGACUGAGACACGGCCCAGACUCCUACGGGAGGCAGCAGCUAAGAAUAUUCCGCAAUGGGAGAAAUCCUGACGGAGCGACGCCGCGUGAACGAUUGAAAGGCAGAAAUGUUGUAAAGUUCUUUUAUUAGGGAAGAAUAAGGCUGGUAGUGGAAAGAUCAGUCGAUGACGGUACCUAAUGAAUAAGCCACGGCUAACUACGUGCCAGCAGCCGC